AAUGAACGCUGGCGGCGCGCCUAAUACAUGCAAGUCGAGCGAGAAGACGUAGCAAUACGUUUGUAAAGCGGCGAACGGGUGAGGAAUACAUGGGUAACCUACCCUAGAGUGGGGAAUAACUAGCCGAAAGGUUAGCUAAUACCGCGUACGCUCCUUGGACUUCGGUUCAGGGAGGAAAGCGAUGCCGAGGGUAUCGCGCUCUUGGAUGGGCUCAUGUCCUAUCAGCUUGNGGUGAGGUAACGGCUCACCAAGGCUUCGACGGGUAGCUGGUCUGAGAGGACGAUCAGCCACACUGGCACUGCGACACGGGCCAGACUCCUACGGGAGGCAGCAGUAAGGAAUAUUGCGCAAUGGGCGAAAGCCUGACGCAGCGACGCCGCGUGGGGGA
This 388-nucleotide ribosomal RNA is filed under the name uncultured bacterium. RNAcentral describes it as "bacterial SSU rRNA". It matches the Rfam family "Bacterial small subunit ribosomal RNA", at positions 29 to 408 of the family's 1533-position model. The record is from RNAcentral.